ACUCCUACGGGAGGCAGCAGUGGGGAAUAUUGCACAAUGGGCGCAAGCCUGAUGCAGCAACGCCGCGUGAGCGAUGAAGGCCUUCGGGUCGUAAAGCUCUGUCCUCAAGGAAGAAUAAAUGACGGUACUUGAGGAGGAAGCCCCGGCUAACUACGUGCCAGCAGCCGCGGUAAUACGUAGGGGCGAAGCGUUAUCCGGAAUCACUGGGCGUAAAGGGUGCGUAGGCGGUUUUUCAAGUCAGAAGUGAAAGGCUAUGGCUCAACCAUAGUAAGCUUUUGAAACUGUUAAAACUUGAGUGCAGGAGAGGAAAGGUGGAAUUCCGUAGUGUAGAGGUUGAAAUUCGUAGAUAUUAGGAGGAACACCAGUGGCGAAGGCGACUUUCUGGACUGUAAC
Molecule: ribosomal RNA, 393 nt
Filed under: uncultured bacterium
Lineage: Bacteria
Description: bacterial SSU rRNA
Rfam family: Bacterial small subunit ribosomal RNA
Source: RNAcentral